AGAGUUUGAUCCUGGCUCAGGAUGAACGCUAGCUACAGGGCUUAACACAUGCAAGUCGAGGGGCAGCAUUUUAGUUUGCUUGCAAACUGAAGAUGGCGACCGGCGCACGGGUGAGUAACACGUAUCCAACCUGCCGAUAACUCCGGAAUAGCCUUUCGAAAGAAAGAUUAAUACCGGAUAGCAUACGAAUAUCGCAUGAUAUUUUUAUUAAAGAAUUUCGGUUAUCGAUGGGGAUGCGUUCCAUUAGUUUGUUGGCGGGGUAACGGCCCACCAAGACUACGAUGGAUAGGGGUUCUGAGAGGAGGGUCCCCCACAUUGGAACUGAGACACGGUCCAAACUCCUACGGGAGGCAGCAGUGAGGAAUAUUGGUCAAUGGGCGAGAGCCUGAACCAGCCAAGUAGCGUGAAGGAUGAAGGCUCUAUGGGUCGUAAACUUCUUUUAUAUGGGAAUAAAGUUUUCCACGUGUGGAAUUUUGUAUGUACCAUAUGAAUAAGGAUCGGCUAACUCCGUGCCAGCAGCCGCGGUAAUACGGAGGAUCCGAGCGUUAUCCGGAUUUAUUGGGUUUAAAGGGAGCGUAGGUGGAUUGUUAAGUCAGUUGUGAAAGUUUGCGGCUCAACCGUAAAAUUGCAGUUGAUACUGGA
This 642-nucleotide ribosomal RNA is filed under the name uncultured Bacteroidota bacterium. Its description in RNAcentral is "bacterial SSU rRNA". It matches the Rfam family "Bacterial small subunit ribosomal RNA", at positions 8 to 637 of the family's 1533-position model. The record is from RNAcentral. Lineage: Bacteria; Pseudomonadati; Bacteroidota.